Molecule: ribosomal RNA, 606 nt
Filed under: Trichoderma sp.
Lineage: Eukaryota; Fungi; Ascomycota; Sordariomycetes; Hypocreales; Hypocreaceae
Description: eukaryotic LSU rRNA
Rfam family: 5.8S ribosomal RNA (bases 237-390)
Source: RNAcentral
AGCGGAGGGAUCAUUACCGAGUUUACAACUCCCAAACCCAAUGUGAACGUUACCAAUCUGUUGCCUCGGCGGGAUUCUCUGCCCCGGGCGCGUCGCAGCCCCGGAUCCCAUGGCGCCCGCCGGAGGACCAACUCAAACUCUUUUUUCUCUCCGUCGCGGCCUACGUCGCGGCUCUGUUUUAUUUUUGCUCUGAGCCUUUCUCGGCGACCCUAGCGGGCGUCUCGAAAAUGAAUCAAAACUUUCAACAACGGAUCUCUUGGUUCUGGCAUCGAUGAAGAACGCAGCGAAAUGCGAUAAGUAAUGUGAAUUGCAGAAUUCAGUGAAUCAUCGAAUCUUUGAACGCACAUUGCGCCCGCCAGUAUUCUGGCGGGCAUGCCUGUCCGAGCGUCAUUUCAACCCUCGAACCCCUCCGGGGGGUCGGCGUUGGGGAUCGGCCCCUCACCGGGCCGCCCCCGAAAUACAGUGGCGGUCUCGCCGCAGCCUCUCCUGCGCAGUAGUUUGCACACUCGCACCGGGAGCGCGGCGCGGCCACAGCCGUAAAACACCCCAAACUCUGAAAUGUUGACCUCGGAUCAGGUAGGAAUACCCGCUGAACUUAAGCAUAUC